UUUAUGGAGAGUUUGAUCCUGGCUCAGGACGAACGCUGGCGGCGUGCCUAAUACAUGCAAGUCGAGCGGAUCUUAUCCUUCGGGGUAAGGUUA
This 93-nucleotide ribosomal RNA is filed under the name Paenibacillus phyllosphaerae. Its description in RNAcentral is "Bacterial small subunit ribosomal RNA". It matches the Rfam family "Bacterial small subunit ribosomal RNA", at positions 1 to 93 of the family's 1533-position model. Lineage: Bacteria; Bacillati; Bacillota; Bacilli; Caryophanales; Paenibacillaceae. The record is from Rfam by way of RNAcentral.